RNAcentral lists this ribosomal RNA (495 nucleotides) under uncultured bacterium. RNAcentral describes it as "partial 16S ribosomal RNA". It matches the Rfam family "Bacterial small subunit ribosomal RNA", at positions 28 to 507 of the family's 1533-position model. The record is from RNAcentral.
GACGAACGCUGGCGGCGUGCCUAAUACAUGCAAGUAGAACGCUGAAGGAGGAGCUUGCUUCUCCGGAUGAGUUGCGAACGGGUGAGUAACGCGUAGGUAACCUGCCUGGUAGCGGGGGAUAACUAUUGGAAACGAUAGCUAAUACCGCAUAACAGUAGAUGUUGCAUGACAUUUGCUUAAAAGGUGCAAUUGCAUCACUACCAGAUGGACCUGCGUUGUAUUAGCUAGUUGGUGAGGUAACGGCUCACCAAGGCGACGAUACAUAGCCGACCUGAGAGGGUGAUCGGCCACCCUGGGACUGAGACACGGCCCAGACGCCUACGGGAGGCAGCAGUAGGGAAUCUUCGGCAAUGGACGGAAGUCUGACCGAGCAACGCCGCGUGAGUGAAGAAGGUUUUCGGAUCGUAAAGCUCUGUUGUAAGAGAAGAACGAGUGUGAGAGUGGAAAGUUCACACUGUGACGGUAUCUUACCAGAAAGGGACGGCUAACUACGUG